GCCUGGGUGACAGAGCGAGACUUCGUCUCAAAAAAAAAGAAGAAGAAAGAAGGAAGCUGAGGUUCAGACAGGCUAAGUCCCUACUGCAGGCUGCGGAAUCUAAAAAGGUCAUGAACUCUGAGAGUUUGAGAUGAGCCUCUAAAAGCUGUAUCAAUAGCACCUUGCACUGUUGAAGCAGGCCAUGAACUCUGAGAAUUUGGGCUGCAUUUUUAAAGCUGUAUCACUGGCAGUUUGUACUCAAAAAGCAGUGCUCUGAACAGAGUUCACCACCCAAGGGAGCCCUCUCUGACUGCUGUCCCCCGAGCACCUGCUUUGUUCCCUUCUUGAGAUAGUGUCUUGCAAUGUCGCCCAGGCUGGAGUGCAG
Molecule: long non-coding RNA, 364 nt
Filed under: Homo sapiens (human)
Lineage: Eukaryota; Metazoa; Chordata; Mammalia; Primates; Hominidae
Description: HSALNT0398924
Source: RNAcentral